RNAcentral lists this ribosomal RNA (466 nucleotides) under uncultured bacterium. Its description in RNAcentral is "partial 16S ribosomal RNA". The stretch from base 13 to 371 matches the Rfam family "Bacterial small subunit ribosomal RNA", at positions 40 to 399 of the family's 1533-position model. The record is from RNAcentral.
GACGAACGCUGGCGGCGUGCUUAACACAUGCAAGUCGAACGGAAAGGCCUCUUUCGGGGGGUACUCGAGUGGCGAACGGGUGAGUAACACGUGAGUAACCUGCCCUUGACUUUGGGAUAACUUCAGGAAACUGGGGCUAAUACCGGAUAGGAGCUCCUGCUGCAUGGUGGGGGUUGGAAAGUUUCGGCGGUUGGGGAUGGACUCGCGGCUUAUCAGCUUGUUGGUGGGGUAGUGGCUUACCAAGGCUUUGACGGGUAGCCGGCCUGAGAGGGUGACCGGCGAGAGGGGGAAGGUGAGAAGGGAGAGGUGCAGCGGGGAGGGAGCAGUGGGGAGGAUGGGACAAGGGGUGGUAGCGUGAGGCAGCAAGGCUGAGGGGGGGGUGAUGGGGGUGGGGUGGGAAAACGAGUGCGCGGGUGAAGAAGCGUGAGAGAGGGGAAUGGGUAAAGAAGAAAGGGAUAAUCAGGUG